GACGUAGGGCGCGAGCGUUGUCCGGAUUUAUUGGGCGUAAAGAGCUCGUAGGCGGUUUGUCGCGUCGUCUGUGAAAACCCACGGCUCAACUGUGGGCUUGCAGUCGAUACGGGCAGGCUAGAGUUCGGUAGGGGAGACUGGAAUUCCUGGUGUAGCGGUGAAAUGCGCAGAUAUCAGGAGGAACACCGGUGGCGAAGGCGGGUCUCUGGGCCGAUACUGACGCUGAGGCGCGAAAGCGUGGGGAGCGAACAGG
RNAcentral lists this ribosomal RNA (253 nucleotides) under uncultured bacterium. RNAcentral describes it as "partial 16S ribosomal RNA". It matches the Rfam family "Bacterial small subunit ribosomal RNA", at positions 524 to 776 of the family's 1533-position model. The record is from RNAcentral.